UUGAAGAUGUGAUGGGUAUUAGUUUUUUUAAGGAAAAGACUAUAUUUGGAGAAUUACAUGUAGUUUCUCAUUCCAUUCUAUGCUUUGAUAUGUAAACCAAAUCUACAAAUCCCUUACUUUAUGUAGACUUACAGAGUAGAACAAGAAAGAUGGAAAGAAAAGCAACAGAAAAAGUGGGUAAGAUAUGUCACACCAAUCCGCAAGCCUUUCCUUUCCAAGACAUCAAACAAGAAGUCCUCAGUGCCUGAGGGUCCCGUUGCAAAACAAAGCUCGCCACCACAGCCAAGGUCAUCCCUGGAGGGGGACCAUGAAGACAUUGUGGAUGAAAAGGCUGUACAUAGGGAGAUCUCAAACAAACCUAAGGCAACAGUAAAGACAACAGCAACCCCACAGCAUCAACUCACCUCUUUGUGGAAAAGGAGAGACACUGAGGUUGUGAUUUCUGUGAUCCCUACACAAACCAAAGGAACAUCAAUUGUCAUUUGUCACAGUGAGCUGCGUACACUUCGGCCACACCAGUGGCUAACUGGCAAGAUAGUUGAAG
Molecule: long non-coding RNA, 544 nt
Organism: Sinocyclocheilus anshuiensis
Lineage: Eukaryota; Metazoa; Chordata; Actinopteri; Cypriniformes; Cyprinidae
Exons: 4
Source: RefSeq, a predicted model, not a curated record